This 84-nucleotide transfer RNA is filed under the name Clostridia bacterium. RNAcentral's name for it is "tRNA-Leu". It matches the Rfam family "tRNA". Rfam says of the family: Transfer RNA (tRNA) molecules are approximately 80 nucleotides in length. Their secondary structure includes four short double-helical elements and three loops (D, anti-codon, and T loops). The record is from RNAcentral. Lineage: Bacteria; Bacillati; Bacillota; Clostridia.
GCGAGCGUGGCGAAAUUGGCAGACGCGUAAGACUUAGGAUCUUAUGUCUGAGACGUGCGGGUUCAAGUCCUGUCGCUCGCACCA